This is a non-coding RNA of Pelobates cultripes (western spadefoot toad), 211 nucleotides long. Lineage: Eukaryota; Metazoa; Chordata; Amphibia; Anura; Pelobatidae. The record is from the annotation of a GenBank genome assembly.
GUUGUAAUAUGGAGCAAUAGGUAUUGAUGUUGCAGUGGUAUCCACGGUGAUUAGUUCACUUUUUUCAUAAAGUUCGUGCGCAUUGUGCCCCAUGUACCGAAUGUAUCAGAACUAAAACGUAUAAUUGAGAGAAAUCUCUUUGUUGCGUCGUGGUAACAGCAGUGGUGAAAGCUUAGUUUCAAACGUCUCCUUUUCAAACUUGAGUGGUGAC